UAUGUAAGCUCAGAUCUUUUAAAUUACGCAACGGAUUUUAAUGCGGUUUUCGCCAAUAGACAGAGUGAUUCCAGAGGAAGUUCAUACGCAUAGUUUAAUAUUGUUUUUUUGUAUAUUUGUUGAA
Long non-coding RNA from Maniola jurtina (meadow brown), 124 nucleotides. RefSeq lists it as uncharacterized. The transcript is spliced from 3 exons. The record is from RefSeq and is a predicted model, not a curated record. Lineage: Eukaryota; Metazoa; Arthropoda; Insecta; Lepidoptera; Nymphalidae.